UGGACUCUAUGUGGACAUCCACCCAUUCCAA
Molecule: non-coding RNA, 31 nt
Filed under: Mus musculus (house mouse)
Lineage: Eukaryota; Metazoa; Chordata; Mammalia; Rodentia; Muridae
Source: RNAcentral